AAACCAACAGGGAUUGCCUCAGUAACGGCGAGUGAAGCGGCAACAGCUCAAAUUUGAAAUCUGGCCUCACGGUCCGAGUUGUAAUUUGUAGAGGAUGCUUUUGGCAAGGUACUUUCCGAGUUCCCUGGAACGGGACGCCAUAGAGGGUGAGAGCCCCGUACGGUCAGACCACCGAGCCUCUGUAAAGCUCCUUCGACGAGUCGAGUAGUUUGGGAAUGCUGCUCUAAAUGGGAGGUGUACGUCUUCUAAAGCUAAAUACCGGCCAGAGACCGAUAGCGCACAAGUAGAGUGAUCGAAAGAUGAAAAGCACUUUGAAAAGAGGGUUAAAAAGUACGUGAAAUUGUUGAAAGGGAAGCAUUCAUGACCAGACUUGGGCUUGGUUGAACAUCCGGCGUUCUCGCCGGUGCACUCUGCCAGUCCAGGCCAGCAUCAGUUUGACCCGGGGGACAAAGGCGGCGGGAAUGUGGCUCCCCUCGGGGAGUGUUAUAGCCCGUCGUGUAAUGCCCUGGGUUGGACUGAGGAACGCGCUUCGGCACGGAUGCUGGCGUAAUGGUCAUCAAUGACCCGUCUUG
Molecule: ribosomal RNA, 572 nt
Filed under: Sarocladium bactrocephalum
Lineage: Eukaryota; Fungi; Ascomycota; Sordariomycetes; Hypocreales; Sarocladiaceae
Description: eukaryotic LSU rRNA
Rfam family: Eukaryotic large subunit ribosomal RNA
Source: RNAcentral